UCUGGCGUCUUCGGCGUCCGAGUUGUAAUCUGUAGAGGAUGCCUUUGGGUAGCCACCGGUCUAAGUCCCCUGGAACGGGGCGUCGCAGAGGGUGAGAAUCCCGUAUGUGACCGGAAGGGCGCCCUAUACAUAGCUCCUUCGACGAGUCGAGUUGUUUGGGAAUGCAGCUCUAAAUGGGAGGUAAAUUCCUUCUAAAGCUAAAUAUUGGCCAGAGACCGAUAGCGCACAAGUAGAGUGAUCGAAAGAUGAAAAGCACUUUGGAAAGAGAGUUAAAAAGCACGUGAAAUUGUUGAAAGGGAAGCGCUUGCAACCAGACUUGUUGGCGGUGUUCCGCCGGUCUUCUGACCGGUGUACUCGCCGUCUGCAGGCCAGCAUCAUCUGGGGCCGCCGGAUAAAAGCGAGGGGAACGUGGCUCCCUCGGGAGUGUUAUAGCCCCUCGUGCAAUACGGCGAGCCUCGGGUGAGGUCCGCGC
Molecule: ribosomal RNA, 472 nt
Filed under: Heteroconium citharexyli
Lineage: Eukaryota; Fungi; Ascomycota; Dothideomycetes; Capnodiales; Capnodiaceae
Description: eukaryotic LSU rRNA
Rfam family: Eukaryotic large subunit ribosomal RNA
Source: RNAcentral